Molecule: ribosomal RNA, 446 nt
Filed under: uncultured bacterium
Lineage: Bacteria
Description: bacterial SSU rRNA
Rfam family: Bacterial small subunit ribosomal RNA
Source: RNAcentral
AUCCAGACUCCUACGGGAGGCAGCAGUGGGGGAUAUUGCACAAUGGGGGGAACCCUGAUGCAGCGACGCCGCGUGGGUGAAGGAGCGUUUCGGCGCGUAAAGCCCUAUCGGCAGGGAAGAAGAUGACGGUACCUGACCAAGAAGCCCCGGCUAACUACGUGCCAGCAGCCGCGGUAAUACGUAGGGGGCAAGCGUUAUCCGGAUUUACUGGGUGUAAAGGGAGCGUAGACGGCAUGGCAAGUCUGAAGUGAAAGCCCGGGGCUCAACCGCGGGACUGCUUUGGAAACUGUUAAGCUGGAGUGCAGGAGAGGUAAGUGGAAUUCCUAGUGUAGCGGUGAAAUGCGUAGAUAUUAGGAGGAACACCAGUGGCGAAGGCGGCUUACUGGACUGUAACUGACGUUGAGGCUCGAAAGCGUGGGGAGCAAACAGGAUUAGAUACCCGAGUA